RNAcentral lists this ribosomal RNA (460 nucleotides) under uncultured bacterium. Its description in RNAcentral is "partial 16S ribosomal RNA". It matches the Rfam family "Bacterial small subunit ribosomal RNA", at positions 338 to 795 of the family's 1533-position model. The record is from RNAcentral.
CCUACGGGAGGCAGCAGUGAGGAAUAUUGGUCAAUGGGCUUACGCCUGAACCAGCCAAGUCGCGUGAGGGAAGACUGCCCUAUGGGUUGUAAACCUCUUUUGUCAGGGAGCAACGACGACUACGUGUAGCCAGACGGAGAGUCCCUGAAGAAAAAGAAUCGCCUAACUCCGUGCCAGCAGCCGUGGUAAUCCGGAGGAUGCGAGCGUUAUCCGGAUUUAGUGGGUUUAAGGGGUUCUUAGGCGGAAUACAAGGUCAGCGGUAACAUCGCGGGGCUCAACCUCGCUCCGCCGUUGAAACUGGCGUUCUAGAGUGGGCGAGAGGUAUGCGGAAUGCGUGGUGUAGCGGUGAAAUGCAUAGAUAUAACGCAGAACUCCGAUUGCGAAGGCAGCAUACCGGAGCCCAACUGACGCUGAAGCACGAAAGCGUGGGUAUCGAACAGGAUUAGAUACCCCUGUAGUC